This 65-nucleotide transfer RNA is filed under the name Dipodomys ordii (Ord's kangaroo rat). It matches the Rfam family "tRNA". Rfam says of the family: Transfer RNA (tRNA) molecules are approximately 80 nucleotides in length. Their secondary structure includes four short double-helical elements and three loops (D, anti-codon, and T loops). Lineage: Eukaryota; Metazoa; Chordata; Mammalia; Rodentia; Heteromyidae. The record is from Rfam by way of RNAcentral.
GGUGGCUCAGUGGUAGAGCACUUGCCUCGCAUACAUGAGGUCCUAGGUUCGAUUCCUCAGCACCA